RNAcentral lists this transfer RNA (61 nucleotides) under Ictidomys tridecemlineatus (thirteen-lined ground squirrel). RNAcentral's name for it is "Spermophilus tridecemlineatus (thirteen-lined ground squirrel) tRNA". It matches the Rfam family "tRNA", at positions 6 to 65 of the family's 71-position model. From Rfam's summary of the family: Transfer RNA (tRNA) molecules are approximately 80 nucleotides in length. The record is from Rfam by way of RNAcentral. RNAcentral also lists the same sequence under 1 other name. Lineage: Eukaryota; Metazoa; Chordata; Mammalia; Rodentia; Sciuridae.
UGUGGCUCAGUGGUAGAGUUCUUGCCUAGCAUGUAUGAGGCACUGGGUUCGAUUCUCAGCA